This 72-nucleotide transfer RNA is filed under the name Lachnospiraceae bacterium. RNAcentral's name for it is "tRNA-Glu". It matches the Rfam family "tRNA". From Rfam's summary of the family: Transfer RNA (tRNA) molecules are approximately 80 nucleotides in length. Their secondary structure includes four short double-helical elements and three loops (D, anti-codon, and T loops). Further hydrogen bonds mediate the characteristic L-shaped molecular structure. tRNAs have two regions of fundamental functional importance: the anti-codon, which is responsible for specific mRNA codon recognition, and the 3' end, to which the tRNAs corresponding amino acid is attached (by aminoacyl-tRNA synthetases). tRNAs cope with the degeneracy of the genetic code in two manners: having more than one tRNA (with a specific anti-codon) for a particular amino acid; and 'wobble' base-pairing, i.e. permitting non-standard base-pairing at the 3rd anti-codon position. Lineage: Bacteria; Bacillati; Bacillota; Clostridia; Lachnospirales; Lachnospiraceae. RNAcentral also lists the same sequence under 1 other name. The record is from RNAcentral.
GGCGCCAUGGUCAAGCGGUUAAGACAUCGCCCUUUCACGGCGGUAACACGAGUUCAAAUCUCGUUGGCGUCA